UGCACUUAGCGUCCGUUUAUUCCUCUAUGAGGAAGUGAAUUUCAAUUUGGAAUGCAGAUCGAUUCAAAUAUCAUAUUUAUGUAACAAUAUACCGCGGAAGAGUUUGUAUAAUGGAGCCAAAUCCAGUCACGCGGGGCCAGAGAGGGUCAGAACUGGCAAUGGGUGCAUUCGAAGGAGAAAAGCGGUUACCGAUGAGUUGCGAACAUGUUGCGAUUUUCUGCUGAAUGGACUGUUCAGUGAUCAUAAUAUGGCGGCAUCCAGUAUUGUGUAAUCUAACCUCCUUAUACUUGGCACUUCGCCUAGAUGGCCGAUCCUCUGAGCAACACCUAGAAGAAGUAAAAUAGGUGCUGGACCCCGGCUACGGAUACUGCCUUUCAUCGCCUCCAAGAGCCCUUAAGGUGAAGUGAAACCCCCUUCAAAUCAGUCGAUUCGAAUACAUUUGCUAUGCGAAUACCAAGUCCAAUCCUGUUGAACAACGGUACAUUGCCACCGAUUCCUUUCCCCAGGCACCGUCAAGGCAAGCAGUGCUCGCAGCAACACCAGACCGAUCGAAGGACCAUCGACAGCAGUACUGCAGGGAUUUUUAAGUUUUAAAACACUGGUAAUAAUUAAACGUUCUACAAUUUUGCUGAAA
Long non-coding RNA from Orussus abietinus, 634 nucleotides. RefSeq lists it as uncharacterized. The record is from RefSeq and is a predicted model, not a curated record. The transcript is spliced from 2 exons. NCBI's taxonomy places the organism in Eukaryota, Metazoa, Arthropoda, Insecta, Hymenoptera, Orussidae.